Molecule: ribosomal RNA, 380 nt
Filed under: uncultured eukaryote
Lineage: Eukaryota
Description: partial 18S ribosomal RNA
Rfam family: Eukaryotic small subunit ribosomal RNA
Source: RNAcentral
CAAUAGCGUAUAUUAAAGUUGUUGCAGUUAAAAAGCUCGUAGUUGGAUUUGUGGCGUACGGUGUGUUCCGGGCACUUGUUGUCUGAGUAACCUGCUGUUGCCAUCCUUGGGUGGAACCUGUGUGGCAUUAGGUUGUCGUGCAGGGGAUGCCCAUCAUUUACUGUGAAAAAAUUAGAGUGUUCAAAGCAGGCUUAUGCCGUUGAAUAUAUUAGCAUGGAAUAAUGAGAUAGGACUUUUUUGCUAUUUUGUUGGUUUGCGCAAAGAGGUAAUGAUUAAUAGGGACAGUUGGGGGUAUUCGUAUUCCAUUGUCAGAGGUGAAAUUCUAGGAUUUUUGGAAGACGAACUACUGCGAAAGCAUUUACCAAGGAUGUUUUCAUUAA